CUGAGGGUCAGAGCUGUGGUUUAGUGGUAGAACAUCUGCUUGGCAUGUAGAAGGUCUCAAAUUCAAUCCCUGGCCCCACCAGA
Molecule: transfer RNA, 83 nt
Filed under: Sphaerodactylus townsendi
Lineage: Eukaryota; Metazoa; Chordata; Lepidosauria; Squamata; Sphaerodactylidae
Description: tRNA-Ala
Rfam family: tRNA (bases 10-81)
About the family: Transfer RNA (tRNA) molecules are approximately 80 nucleotides in length. Their secondary structure includes four short double-helical elements and three loops (D, anti-codon, and T loops).
Source: RNAcentral